AGGCACGUAGCUCAGGGGGAGAGCACCACCUUGACGCGGUGGGGGUCAGGGGUUCAAAUCCCCUCGUGCCUACCA
This 75-nucleotide transfer RNA is filed under the name Desulfobacca acetoxidans. RNAcentral's name for it is "tRNA-Val". It matches the Rfam family "tRNA". From Rfam's summary of the family: Transfer RNA (tRNA) molecules are approximately 80 nucleotides in length. Their secondary structure includes four short double-helical elements and three loops (D, anti-codon, and T loops). Further hydrogen bonds mediate the characteristic L-shaped molecular structure. tRNAs have two regions of fundamental functional importance: the anti-codon, which is responsible for specific mRNA codon recognition, and the 3' end, to which the tRNAs corresponding amino acid is attached (by aminoacyl-tRNA synthetases). tRNAs cope with the degeneracy of the genetic code in two manners: having more than one tRNA (with a specific anti-codon) for a particular amino acid; and 'wobble' base-pairing, i.e. permitting non-standard base-pairing at the 3rd anti-codon position. The record is from RNAcentral. RNAcentral also lists the same sequence under 4 other names. Lineage: Bacteria; Pseudomonadati; Thermodesulfobacteriota; Desulfobaccia; Desulfobaccales; Desulfobaccaceae.